RNAcentral lists this ribosomal RNA (1326 nucleotides) under metagenome. RNAcentral describes it as "bacterial LSU rRNA". It matches the Rfam family "Bacterial large subunit ribosomal RNA", at positions 1561 to 2925 of the family's 2925-position model. The record is from RNAcentral.
AGUGGAUGGGGAGCAACCUAGUUGUGCGUGUGUAAAGGUAGUGCCAAGAAAAGCGAUGAUCAUGUUGAAAAUCAAUUCCCGGUACCCGAAACCGACACAGGUGGGCAAGUAGAGAAUACUAAGGGGCGCGAGGUAACUCUCUCCAAGGAACUCGGCAAAAUGACCCCGUAACUUAGGGAGAAGGGGUGCCACCGAGAGGUGGUCGCAGUGAAGAGGCCCAGGCGACUGUUUAGCAAAAACAUAGGUCUCUGCAAACUCGAAAGAGGAGGUAUAGGGGCUGACGCCUGCCCAGUGCCGGAAGGUUAAAGGAGUUGGUCAGUUUUAGGAUGAAGCUAGCGACUGAAGCCCCGGUGAACGGCGGCCGUAACUAUAACGGUCCUAAGGUAGCGAAAUUCCUUGUCGGGUAAGUUCCGACCCGCACGAAAGGCGUAACGAUCUGGGCGCUGUCUCGGAGAGAGGCUCGGCGAAAUAGGAUUGUCUGUGAAGAUACGGACUACCUGCAUUUGGACAGAAAGACCCUAUGAAGCUUUACUAUAGCUUGGAAUUGUGUUCGGGCUUCCUGUGCGCAGGAUAGGUGGGAGGCGUAGAAGGUAUUCUUGUGGGGAUACUGGAGCCAACGGUGAGAUACCACUCUCAGGAGGCUAGAAUUCUAACUUAAUUAAGGACAGUUUCAGGUGGGUAGUUUGACUGGGGCGGUCGCCUCCAAAAAGGUAACGGAGGCGUACAAAGGUUCCCUCAGACUGGUUGGAAAUCAGUCGAAGAGUGCAAAGGCAGAAGGGAGCUUGACUGCGAGAAGUACAGUUCGAGCAGGGUGGAAACACGGUCUUAGUGAUCCGACGGUGCUGUGUGGAAGGGCCGUCGCUCAACGGAUAAAAGUUACUCUAGGAUAACAGGCUGAUCUCCCCCAAGAGUUCACAUCGACGGGGAGGUUUGGCACCUCGAUGUCGGCUCAUCGCAACCUGGGGCGGAAGUACGUCCCAAGGGUUGGGCUGUUCGCCCAUUAAAGCGGUACGUGAGCUGGGUUCAGAACGUCGUGAGACAGUUCGGUCCAUAUCCGAUGUAGGCGUGAGAAUAUUGAGAGGAGCCUUCCUUAGUACGAGAGGACCGGGAAGGACGCACCGCUGGUGUACCUGUUAUGAUGCCAAUUGUAAACGCAGGGUAGCCAAGUGCGGAGAGGAUAACCGCUGAAAGCAUCUAAGUGGGAAGCCCACCUCAAGAUGAGUAUUCUGGUGUAAGGUCACGGGAAGACGACCCGUAAAUAGGCACGAGGUGGAAGUGCAGAGAUGUAUGAAGCCGAAGUGUACUAAUAGACCGUCGGCUUGACAG